AAGUUAAAGAUCGUCUCAUGGGAGUAAAUUAGGGUUAAUUAGUAGUAACAGUCUAAAGUCUCAUUAGAAAGAUGAGGAUGCACGGAGAGAAGACGCGUCUGGACGGCUGGAAGACUUCAAUGUCCAUCACGGGAUGACGCUUUCAGUGACCAAGCAGACAAGCUGUUAGAGGAGCUCGAGCAGCUCCUUCAGGUUGUGAAACAUCUGUGUGAGGGUUCUCGGUUCUCGGUUCUCGGUUCUUGGUUACAACAUGAGAGCACUUGCUCUUCAGGAGUGAAGGUUUGUGGGACAAGAAGCUCGUCUCCAUGGUAACUGAGUCAUGUUGAUGUUUUUUUUAUAUGAUUUUACAAUAAUAUUGAUCUGAUUUAUUCAGA
RNAcentral lists this long non-coding RNA (374 nucleotides) under Sparus aurata (gilthead seabream). RNAcentral describes it as "lncRNA (ENSSAUG00010007161.1)". Lineage: Eukaryota; Metazoa; Chordata; Actinopteri; Spariformes; Sparidae. The record is from RNAcentral.